This 649-nucleotide long non-coding RNA is filed under the name Homo sapiens (human). Its description in RNAcentral is "HSALNT0124179". Lineage: Eukaryota; Metazoa; Chordata; Mammalia; Primates; Hominidae. The record is from RNAcentral.
CCGAGAGGCUGUCGGCGGCCGCCGCCGCCGCCCGCAGGCUGCCGAGCGCACAGCUCCCCGGUUCGCCGACUCGUGCGCGCGCGCACCCGGGCAGGGCGGGGGCUUCUGGAGAGUGGGGACCGCGCGGGAUGGAGGCAGUCAAGGCAUGCUGGCUGCGGCCGGCGCUGGAGGGACCCUUUAGUUCUCAGUACUCCCUGAGCGGGCGGGUUCGUUCCAUCCCGGUUGGCGAUGAAGACAUCCUUUUCUGUGUGCUCGCGGCUCCGCGCUGCGUGGCCAGGAAUGGCUAGAGGGAAAAUCUGGCCUGGAGGCUCGGAUUCUGAGACCUUCGGAGCCAGGCCGGGCGUGAGCGGGCUUGGGGGGGUUCUCUGCGUGCAAGAAUUCUAACCUCCCCAGUCACUGCUUCUAGGCCCACCCGCUGCUCUGUUCAAAUUUUAUUAUAAGAAGCAUAUUCAUUUGGCUCCUGGUUUUCCACUACCUCUUCCUCUUCCCAAAACCCAGGAACUCGAAAUACUGGAAUUCAACGCCCCCCCACCCCGGUUGAUCCAUUUAAUUCCUUGGGUCUAAAAUAGAAAUCAGGCCGCCAACUAAUAAAAAUCGGGCAGCAAAGCUAAAUGGAGCUGAUCGUUUUCCCCUCAUCAUUUUGAUCUCA